RNAcentral lists this ribosomal RNA (714 nucleotides) under uncultured bacterium. Its description in RNAcentral is "bacterial SSU rRNA". It matches the Rfam family "Bacterial small subunit ribosomal RNA", at positions 778 to 1500 of the family's 1533-position model. The record is from RNAcentral.
UUAGAUACCCUUGUAGUCCACGCAGUAAACGAUGAAUACUAGCUGUUCGGGGCAAAUGAGCCUUGAGUGGCACAGCGAAAGCGUUAAGUAUUCCACCUGGGGAGUACGCCGGCAACGGUGAAACUCAAAGGAAUUGACGGGGGCCCGCACAAGCGGAGGAACAUGUGGUUUAAUUCGAUGAUACGCGAGGAACCUUACCCGGGCUCAAACGCAACCGGAAUGUAUCUGAAAGGGUACAGCUCUACGGAGUCGGUUGCGAGGUGCUGCAUGGUUGUCGUCAGCUCGUGCCGUGAGGUGUCGGCUUAAGUGCCAUAACGAGCGCAACCCCUAUCGACAGUUGCUAACGAGUGAAGUCGAGGACUCUGUCGAGACUGCCGGCGCAAGCUGUGAGGAAGGCGGGGAUGACGUCAAAUCAGCACGGCCCUUACGUCCGGGGCGACACACGUGUUACAAUGGCGACUACAGCGGGAAGCCACUUGGCGACAAGGAGCGGAACCCGAAAAGUCGUCUCAGUUCGGAUUGGAGUCUGCAACUCGACUCCAUGAAGCUGGAUUCGCUAGUAAUCGCGCAUCAGCCAUGGCGCGGUGAAUACGUUCCCGGGCCUUGUACACANCCGCCGUCAAGCCAUGGAAGCCGGGGGUGCCUUGAGUGCGUGACCGCAAGGAGCGCCCCUAAGUAAAACCGGUGACUGGAGCUAAGUCGUAACAAGGUAAC